GACGAACGCUGGCGGCGUGCUUAACACAUGCAAGUCGAACGAUGAAGCUAGAGCUUGCUCUGGUGAAUUAGUGGCGAACGGGUGAGUAACACGUGAGUAACCUGCCCCGAACUCUGGGAUAACUGCUGGAAACGGUAGCUAAUACUGGAUACGACCUACGAAGGCAUCUUCUGUAGGUGGAAAGGAUUUCGGUUCGGGAUGGACUCGCGGCCUAUCAGCUUGUUGGUGAGGUAAUGGCUCACCAAGGCGACGACGGGUAGCCGGCCUGAGAGGGUGACCGGCCACACUGGGACUGAGACACGGCCCAGACUCCUACGGGAGGCAGCAGUGGGGAAUAUUGCACAAUGGGCGCAAGCCUGAUGCAGCAACGCCGCGUGAGGGAUGACGGCCUUCGGGUUGUAAACCUCUUUUAGUAGGGAAGAAGCGAAAGUGACGAUACCUGCAGAAAAAGCACCGGCUAACUACGUGCCAGCCGCCGCAGUAA
This 484-nucleotide ribosomal RNA is filed under the name uncultured bacterium. RNAcentral describes it as "partial 16S ribosomal RNA". It matches the Rfam family "Bacterial small subunit ribosomal RNA", at positions 28 to 523 of the family's 1533-position model. The record is from RNAcentral.